Non-coding RNA from Pelobates cultripes (western spadefoot toad), 218 nucleotides. Lineage: Eukaryota; Metazoa; Chordata; Amphibia; Anura; Pelobatidae. The record is from the annotation of a GenBank genome assembly.
GAAUAGUCCCAUCAAAAGUUGAUUGUGAUGAAUUUGCAAACUCGAGGAAUAAAUAACCAAACUGGACAAAUUGUUCAAUUUAACUCUUUUUCCCACGUCUGUUACCUUGGCCCAAAUAUUGCAUUUCCUUAAAAAUCACCUGACUUCACUUAUUAAUGAAUACCUUUCAGUAUACAAACCUACUCAUAUAGAGCAGAUAUUCUGGUGUUAGAAUGUAU